CCCGCACAAGCGGUGGAGCAUGUGGUUUAAUUCGAAGCAACGCGAAGAACCUUACCAGGUCUUGACAUCCUCUGACAAUCCUAGAGAUAGGACGUCCCCUUCGGGGGCAGAGUGACAGGUGGUGCAUGGUUGUCGUCAGCUCGUGUCGUGAGAUGUUGGGUUAAGUCCCGCAACGAGCGCAACCCUUGAUCUUAGUUGCCAGCAUUCAGUUGGGCACUCUAAGGUGACUGCCGGUGACAAACCGGAGGAAGGUGGGGAUGACGUCAAAUCAUCAUGCCCCUUAUGACCUGGGCUACACACGUGCUACAAUGGACAGAACAAAGGGCAGCGAAACCGCGAGGUUAAG
This 346-nucleotide ribosomal RNA is filed under the name Bacillus sp. (in: firmicutes). RNAcentral's name for it is "bacterial SSU rRNA". It matches the Rfam family "Bacterial small subunit ribosomal RNA", at positions 920 to 1267 of the family's 1533-position model. The record is from RNAcentral. Lineage: Bacteria; Bacillati; Bacillota; Bacilli; Caryophanales; Bacillaceae.